GUGAAAUGAUGAUUUAGUUUAUCCAUUCGCUGAGUGCGCUGCACUGACCUCCUUCCAGGCCUUAGUUCCUGUUCUAGGAACUCCAGGCUGCGUAGCCUCCAAAUGCCCUGCUGUCUGCAGUGUUCUACUGCUGACGGCUGGGUGUUUCUAGACUACUGGUGAGGCUGGUUGGUGUCAGCAGGGAUGGGUCCCUCAGGUACCAUCUCACAAAGAUGAGUGGUGAAAAUCUGAUCAC
Molecule: small nucleolar RNA, 235 nt
Filed under: Carlito syrichta (Philippine tarsier)
Lineage: Eukaryota; Metazoa; Chordata; Mammalia; Primates; Tarsiidae
Description: Small nucleolar RNA SNORD17 (ENSTSYG00000034497.1)
Rfam family: Small nucleolar RNA SNORD17
About the family: The snoRNA HBI-43 belongs to the C/D family of snoRNAs, guiding 2'O-ribose methylation at position U3797 of the 28S rRNA.
Source: Rfam by way of RNAcentral